RNAcentral lists this transfer RNA (77 nucleotides) under Paraflavitalea soli. Its description in RNAcentral is "tRNA-OTHER". It matches the Rfam family "tRNA". From Rfam's summary of the family: Transfer RNA (tRNA) molecules are approximately 80 nucleotides in length. Their secondary structure includes four short double-helical elements and three loops (D, anti-codon, and T loops). Lineage: Bacteria; Pseudomonadati; Bacteroidota; Chitinophagia; Chitinophagales; Chitinophagaceae. The record is from RNAcentral.
GGGUGGUUAGCUCAGUUGGAUAGAUGCAUCCCGGCUUACAGUCGGGAGGGUCAUCGGUUCGACUCCGGUAUCCUCCA